RNAcentral lists this small RNA (26 nucleotides) under Bombyx mori (domestic silkworm). RNAcentral describes it as "ovarian small RNA-35443". The record is from RNAcentral. Lineage: Eukaryota; Metazoa; Arthropoda; Insecta; Lepidoptera; Bombycidae.
UGUAGUUGUUAUGUGUUGCAAUUCAU